AAAGGAAUAGACGGGGACCCGCACAAGCGGUGGAGCGUGUUCUUUAAUUCGAGGCUAAACGAAGAACCUUACCAGGGUUUGACAUCCUAGGAAUUUCUCCGAAAGGAGAGAGUACUUUAUUGAACCUAGUGACAGAUCUUGCAUGGCCGUCGUCAGCUCGUGUCGUGAGAUGUUUGGUUAAGUCCAUCAACGAGCGCAACCCUUAUGGCUAGUUGUAUUUUUCUAGUUAGACUGCCCCGGUAACGGGGAGGAAGGAGGGGAUGAUGUCAGGUCAGUAUUAGUCUUACACUCUGGGCUAGAAACGCGCUACAAUGGCCGGUACAACGGGCAGCAAAGCAGUAAUGUGAAGCAAAUCCCAUCAAAACCGGUCCCAGUUCGGAUUGAGGGCUGAAACUCGCCCUCAUGAAGUCGGAAUCGCUAGUAAUCGCAGAUCAGCACGCUGCGGUGAAUACGUUCCCGGGUCUUGUACACACCGCCCGU
This 480-nucleotide ribosomal RNA is filed under the name uncultured bacterium. RNAcentral describes it as "bacterial SSU rRNA". It matches the Rfam family "Bacterial small subunit ribosomal RNA", at positions 903 to 1397 of the family's 1533-position model. The record is from RNAcentral.